Molecule: ribosomal RNA, 335 nt
Filed under: uncultured bacterium
Lineage: Bacteria
Description: bacterial SSU rRNA
Rfam family: Bacterial small subunit ribosomal RNA
Source: RNAcentral
ACUCCUACGGGAGGCAGCAGUGGGGAAUAUUGCACAAUGGGCGCAAGCCUGAUGCAGCCAUGCCGCGUGUAUGAAGAAGGCCUUCGGGUUGUAAAGUACUUUCAGCAGUGAGGAAGGCGGGUACGUUAAUAGCGUGCCGUUUGACGUUAGCUGCAGAAGAAGCACCGGCUAACUCCGUGCCAGCAGCCGCGGUAAUACGGAGGGUGCGAGCGUUAAUCGGAAUUACUGGGCGUAAAGCGCAUGCAGGUGGUUUGUUAAGUCAGAUGUGAAAGCCCGGGGCUCAACCUCGGAAUAGCAUUUUGAAAACUGGCAGACUAGAGUACUUAGAGGGGGGU